RNAcentral lists this ribosomal RNA (253 nucleotides) under uncultured bacterium. RNAcentral's name for it is "partial 16S ribosomal RNA". It matches the Rfam family "Bacterial small subunit ribosomal RNA", at positions 524 to 776 of the family's 1533-position model. The record is from RNAcentral.
UACGGGGGGGGCAAGCGUUGUUCGGAAUUACUGGGCGUAAAGGGCUCGUAGGCGGCCAACUAAGUCCGACGUGAAAUCCCAAGGCUUAACCUUGGAACUGCGUCGGAUACUGGAUGGCUUGGAUUUGGGAGAGGAAUGCGGAAUUCCAGGUGUAGCGGUGAAAUGCGUAGAUAUCAGGAGGAACACCGGUGGCGAAGGCGGAUCUCUGGGCCGUAACUGACGCUGAGGAGCGAAAGCAUGGGGAGCGAACAGG